RNAcentral lists this transfer RNA (69 nucleotides) under Rattus norvegicus (Norway rat). It matches the Rfam family "tRNA". Rfam says of the family: Transfer RNA (tRNA) molecules are approximately 80 nucleotides in length. Lineage: Eukaryota; Metazoa; Chordata; Mammalia; Rodentia; Muridae. The record is from Rfam by way of RNAcentral.
GGGGGUUUAGCUCAGUGGUAGAGCAUUUGCCUAGCAAGCGCAAGGCCCUGGGUUCGGUCCCCAGCUCCA